GAUGAACGCUGGCGGCGUGCUUAACACAUGCAAGUCGAACGGAAAGGCCCUGCUUUUGUGGGGUGCUCGUGUGGCGAACGGGUGAGUAACACGCGUGUAACCCGUCCCUGUCUUUGGGAUAUAUCUACGAAACUGGGGAUCAUACCGGAUAGAAGCUCCUGCUGCACGGUGGGGGUUGGUAAGUUUCGGCGGUUGUGGAUGGACUCGCGGCUUACCAGCUUGAUAGUGAGGUAGUGGCUUACCAAGCUUGUGACGGCUAGCCGGCCUGAGAGGGUGACCGGCCACAUGGGGACUACGAUACGGCCCAGACGCCUACGGUAGGCAGCAGUGGGGAAUAUUGCACAGUGGGCGGGAGCCUGAGACAGCAACGCCGCGUGCGGGAUGACGGCCUUCGAGUGAUAAACCGCUUUCGCCUGUGACGAAGCGUGAGUGACGGUAAUGGGUAAAAAAGCACCGGCUAACUACGUG
RNAcentral lists this ribosomal RNA (468 nucleotides) under uncultured bacterium. RNAcentral's name for it is "partial 16S ribosomal RNA". It matches the Rfam family "Bacterial small subunit ribosomal RNA", at positions 28 to 507 of the family's 1533-position model. The record is from RNAcentral.